RNAcentral lists this unclassified non-coding RNA (500 nucleotides) under Hevea brasiliensis (rubber tree). The record is from RNAcentral. Lineage: Eukaryota; Viridiplantae; Streptophyta; Magnoliopsida; Malpighiales; Euphorbiaceae.
CAGUAACAAAAUUUUACGUCCUUAACAAGAACAGCAACUGAACUUGCAAAUUCAAGUAAAAUGCAUAGACAUAAUUUCCUGAGAAGAAAACCCGAGUGCUAAAACUCUGAGGUUGAUAAACAAUAACGAGUAAUUAUACCAACUAAUCAAAAAGUGAUAGGCCAAGGUCAUCAUCAUCACUCUCUUCCUUCACCUCUUCCUUCUUCUCAGCUGGGGCUUCUGCAGCAGCUGGAGCAUCUCCUCCAGCAGGGGCGGCUGCAGCUCCUCCACCACCACCAAUGAAACCGCCACCACUGCCACCGCCAACGAUCACCUGGAAAACGGCGGAGGUGGGAGUAAUGAGAGAGAAAGAGGACUGAACACCACCGGAGGAAUCGACGGAGAGAGCAGAUUGAACGAGCUUCCUCUGGAGCUCGUAGGUGGAGUCGGCAGAGCCUUCAAGGUCACCGGAAUACUGGUUGGCGGUCCACUUACCACCGGAGCUCCGACAGACGAAGGUG